Non-coding RNA from Podarcis lilfordi (Lilford's wall lizard), 69 nucleotides. The record is from the annotation of a GenBank genome assembly. NCBI's taxonomy places the organism in Eukaryota, Metazoa, Chordata, Lepidosauria, Squamata, Lacertidae.
GGCCAUAGCUCAGUGGCAGAGCAUCUGCCUCUCUUGCAGAAGGUUCCAGGUUCAGUUUUGGUAGGGCUG